UGUCUUAAGUUUUAUGUAUCAUAAAUAUAUUGACGAUCAAAAUAACAUAAACCAUAUGUGUAUCAUUAAGAGCUUAGCCUUGUAACAUCAAAGUACUGAGUUUAAUAAACAUGUGUAUUGUUACACUAUUUAACGAGUACACAAAUAUUAUUAAUGCACCUAAAAAGUAAAUUAAAAAUUUUCCCUGGACAAUCAUCGAGAGUAAUGCAAGGGAUUGCUGCAUUGUCAAAUAAGAAGAAAGGGAGUGUUAUCAAAAGGUGAUAUAAUAUUGUGUAUUAGAUAAAAUUGAAAAUGACGGGAAAAAUGACAAUACCAUUAGUUACAACAAAAAAUAAAGAAAGAAAGAGGAUGAAGGCAUGAAGAAAU
This 366-nucleotide long non-coding RNA is filed under the name Medicago truncatula (barrel medic). RNAcentral's name for it is "lncRNA gene10190". Lineage: Eukaryota; Viridiplantae; Streptophyta; Magnoliopsida; Fabales; Fabaceae. The record is from RNAcentral.